AGAGUUUGAUCAUGGCUCAGGAUGAACGCUGGCGGUAUGCCUAACACAUGCAAGUCGUACGAGAGUUUUUAACUCAAGUGGCGGACGGGUGAGUAACACGUGAGAAUUUACCUUUAGGAGGGGGACAACAACUGGAAACGGCUGCUAAUACCCCAUAUGCUUCCGAGUGAAAUGAAUUUAUUCGCCUAAAGAGAAGCUCGCGGCUGAUUAGCUUGUUGGUAGGGUAAGAGCCUACCAAGGCGACGAUCAGUAUCUGGUUUGAGAGGACGAUCAGACACACUGGAACUGAGACACGGUCCAGACUCCUACGGGAGGCAGCAGUGGGGAAUUUUCCGCAAUGGGCGAAAGCCUGACGGAGCAAUACCGCGUGAGGGAAGACGGCCCAUGGGUUGUAAACCUCUUUUUUCAGGGAGGAAUAAAUGACGUGUACCUGAAGAAUAAGCAUCGGCUAACUCCGUGCCAGCAGCCGCGGUAAGACGGAGGAUGCAAGUGUUAUCCGGAAUCACUGGGCGUAAAGCGUCUGUAGGUGGUUAAACAAGUCAACUGUUAAAUCUUGAGGCUCAACUUCAAAAUCGCAGUCGAAACUGUUUGACUAGAGUAUAGUAGGGGUAAAGGGAAUUUCCAGUGGAGCGGUGAAAUGCGUAGAUAUUGGAAAGAACACCGAUGGCGAAGGCACUUUACUGGGCUAUUACUGACACUCAGAGACGAAAGCUAGGGUAGCAAAUGGGAUUAGAUACCCCAGUAGUCCUAGCCGUAAACAAUGGAUACUAGAUGUUGAACAGAUCGACCUGUGCAGUAUCAAAGCUAACGCGUUAAGUAUCCCGCCUGGGAAGUAUGCUCGCAAGGGUGAAACUCAAAGGAAUUGACGGGGGCCCGCACAAGCGGUGGAGCAUGUGGUUUAAUUCGAUGCAACGCGAAGAACCUUACCAGGGUUUGACAUGAUACGAAUUUUUGUGAAAGCAAAAAGUGCCGUUUGGAACGUAUACACAGGUGGUGCAUGGCUGUCGUCACCUCCUGUCCUGAGAAGUUUGGGUUAAAUCCCCCCACCAAGCGCAACCCCUUGUUUUUUAUUUGCCUUUAUUGGAACUCUAAAAAGACUGCUUGGUUAUAAACCCGAAGGAAAGGCGGGGAUGAAAUUCAAUUCACCAUGGCCCUUACACCCUGGGGGGAAAAAAAUGGUUAAUUUGGGUGAGAAAAUAGAAAUGCAAACCUCGCAAAGGCGAGCU
This 1226-nucleotide ribosomal RNA is filed under the name uncultured bacterium. Its description in RNAcentral is "bacterial SSU rRNA". It matches the Rfam family "Bacterial small subunit ribosomal RNA", at positions 8 to 1269 of the family's 1533-position model. The record is from RNAcentral.